RNA transcript from Schistocerca piceifrons (Central American locust), 3040 nucleotides. It is a transcript of the gene named fructosamine-3-kinase-like, with no coding region annotated. The record is from RefSeq and is a predicted model, not a curated record. Lineage: Eukaryota; Metazoa; Arthropoda; Insecta; Orthoptera; Acrididae. The transcript is spliced from 7 exons.
UUUGACAAUCCAGUGUUUACUGUUUUGUGAAAAAGAAGUGGAAGAAGUUGGGAAAGUAAAUUGCGGAAGCAUUACUUUCGCAUCUUCAGCCUCAACUAUUUGAAAGAUGGCUUGAUAAUGCCUGUUUUGAACGCAAGGGAGAUAUUUGAUUGUGAAUAUGAAAGUCUAGGAGCUAUUGCAGCAACAAACAUAAUACAUGUCCCAAAGCCUCUUGCAAUUGUGGACAAUCGCUUGGGUGGAGCUUUGUUUGUUUCAGAGUAUAUUGAUAUGAAAACACUGAACCAGUUCUCUCAAGAACUUGGGCAGCAAUUGGCGAGAUUACACCUGCAUAAUGCUGUUCUGGGAAAACAAAAAAUCAAAGGAUUUGUAGGGAAGGAGGAAAAUGUCCAAUUUGUAAAAGAAUUUGGUUUCCAUGUUAAAACACGAUUUGGGAACACACUUUUGGAAAAUGAAUGGUGCAGUGACUGGCCUACCUUUUUCGUGAGACACAGACUCAGUUAUCAAUUUAGGUUACUUGAGGAGAAUUAUGCAGAUGCUGAGGCACGAGAACUGUGGUCACAGCUACUUAGGAAACUACCACAGUUUUUUGAAGGAGCAGAUAUAAAACCAUCGUUAUUGCAUGGGAACUUACAAAGAGACAAUAUUGCGGAAACUAACACACAUCCAGUCACUUUUCAUCCAGCAUCUUUUUUUGGUCAUCAAGAUUUUGAUCUGGUUACUUCACAAAUGUAUGGUGGUCUUGGACAAGCAUUCUAUAAUGCGUAUUAUGACAUAAUACCUAGGGCCACGGGUUCAAGGAAAAGGAAUCAGAUCUAUAAAUUAUUUCAUCUCCUAAAUAAAUGCAUGUGUUCCUCACUCCUGUAUCCACUAAAGAACCACCAGCAUUCAAGGAAGACAUAACGCCUUUGUGAUCUACUUUGGAGAGAGGGGUGCAUGAUAAAUAUCCUCUUCCAUCAUCUUUACUGGAAGAUGCCACUGUUGUGCAAGAAGAAUGGUAUAAGAUACCCUUGAAUAUGAUACUGGACUGAUAUUUAUCCAUUUCGAAGCAAAUGGAAGCUAUUGUGAAUGCUAAUAGUUUUUCUGCACCGUAUUAGUCAUGGAACCAGUCUGGAGAAGAACACAAGAAGAAAGCUAUAUCAUUAAUGAAGUUUUUGUUGAAAGGACCAUAAGAAUUCACUACUACUACAUAAAAAAAAAUUACAGUUGAAAAUAAACACCAUUUUACAAAAUCAAUUUUUUUGUGCCAUGUAUUUAUCUGAAUCAAAAUGUAGCAUUCAGUUUUAGCUUUUAGAAAUUGUGGUAUGUCUGCUUUUAAUGUAAAGGAUUUUUGAGAUUCCCGAUUACCUGAACAUAAACAUGUUUCUGAAAUUUUAAAGUAGUUUGCUGAGCUGUAUAGUGGGUGAGAUAACAGAAGAAAUAAUAUAUUUUUGGACUGUAAAUUUUAUAAAUUUUAUGUUAAGUGUAAUCACAGAACUGGAUGUUAUUUAUUUGUUGUAUACUUGGAUUGCAUGCAUAGGCAAUAACAAAGAUUCAUCAAGUAAACUGUGCCAUAUUCCUGACUGUGAACACAAGUAACAUUCUAAUUUGCAAACAUAGUAACAAAUUAAAUAACAUUGUAACUAAUAAUUAUGCUUUUGAAAUGAUUUGUCUGCAAACAGUAAGUAGACUCAUAAAAAGUAUGGAGGACAUUCCAUUAUGUAUCACUGCCACACUGUAUAUUCCUUUGUUAUAAACUUUAUACUAAUAUACUAGUGAAAUGUAUGAAGAAAGAGAGUCUGACAUUGUAUGUAUUACAUUAUUCUUAUUAUAAAUUUAACAACAGACUAUGCACGAGAUGAUGAUGUAGCUACGUGUAGCUGAUAGCUAAACUACUGUUUAAAAUUUACACAAAUGAAUUAAAGAUGCUGAAAUGAAAGUAAUGGAUUCAUUGGUGUAAAACUGAUAAAGAUGCAGUGACAUGAAAUGAUUUCAGUGCAAGCUGAUCAAAUAUGCCAAACGUGUUGUAAUAACCUUAGAGUACCAACUGAAAAUUUGGCCAGACAAGGAUUCGCACCCAGAUUUUUUGCUUUUCGGAAGCAGUUGUCCCAGGCAUUAGUCAAAUUCACUGUAAAACAUCAAACUCAUAGUUGUGCCAACUUAUCUUGGGCCUGCAUAUAAGCAGCUUCUGUGGCAAGCAUUAAUUCUAGAGGAACAGGGUGGACUCACACUCAAAGGCAAAUUUUCAGGGGUUGAAAAAGGGAUAUUUUCUGAAUGAGACCUGUGGUAGUUUGUGGCCGAUUACCGGGUAAUUACAUUUAAUUUGAUUUUGUACCCCCAUUUAUCCUUGUAUCUGAAUUCCAAUGAAAAUAUCUGCACAACAUUGUAAAUGACAAUGGUUCGCAUGACCUGUCUUGGUUGGAAGCACAUUUUUUUCAUUCACUCACAGUACUUACGGUUGAUAACAGUAGUACCCACUUUACAGCUCGUCCUCCCACUCUCAUUCAUUAGUGCUCGGCUCUGUCUCUAGUUUGUUUAGUAAUAGUUGCAUGUUAACGAUGAUACACAGCUGUAUGAAUAAUUUUACUGAUGAGGAGUUGGCCGUUAUGCAUCUCAGAUAUGGGUUCACUGAGUAUAGUGGAAGAGCACCUUUAUUUCUCUAUAUUGAGGUCUUCCCACAUUGAUGAUGACUAAAUCCCUGCACUUUUGCAUCUACAACUUUCGCAACUCUGCAUGCUGUUGACAUUUGCACUGUCAUGCCGAUAUUUACGGUGCAGUACAGAUACAGACAUAAAUGGGGGUUAAUAAUAACGAAAAUAAAAACAAAACUGAGACAAUUAUUGUGUAAUGAGCCGCCAGAGAUUAUGGUCCCAUAUAUAAAAAUAUUUGGAAAAUAUCUCUGAACAGCCUCCGAAAUUUUGUACUUGGUGCUAGGGUUUAUCCUGUAUAUAUGGAACACACUACAGCUGAUAUUACAAUUAACAGUACAUUGUGUCAUCCUCAAUAAUGUAAAAUGUCGGAUAAAUGUAAGUAUUAUGCUAUGAGAGGGACAGUGCACUAAUAG